This 172-nucleotide non-coding RNA is filed under the name Phocaeicola dorei. The record is from RNAcentral. Lineage: Bacteria; Pseudomonadati; Bacteroidota; Bacteroidia; Bacteroidales; Bacteroidaceae.
CGAAACGGAAUUAAAAGGGAAUCCUGUGCAAAUCAGGAACUAUCCCCGUAGCUGUAAGUUUUAUCCUCCCAUAGUGUGGGGAAGUGUUGUGACAUUCUUAGCCACUGGUUAUUGUGAAAACCGGGAAGGCGUUACAACGGAAACAAGUCAGAAGACCUGCCGUUAUUGUUUA